This 30-nucleotide non-coding RNA is filed under the name Homo sapiens (human). Lineage: Eukaryota; Metazoa; Chordata; Mammalia; Primates; Hominidae. The record is from RNAcentral.
UGUCCAGACAUUGCCAGAUGUCCACUGGGA